CUGUUGUACAGGUGAUAGCACUUCCCUGGACGCACCCUGAAUGAGAUCAGAAAGGUCAGAGGUCAAAUCAACUCUUCAGAUGUAGAAUCAAGUGGCUUCUCUCUGUGGUUCUGGAACCACAGACAGCUGACACUGAGAAUAAAAAAACAACCUUCCUGCUCGUCCUCUCCUCUGCUUAGCGUUAGCCAGACUGACCCACUCUGCUGCCAUGGUGCUGAUGUUGUUGUUGGUGUCGAAGUGCGUCUCUUUAAUCUUUCCUCCAUCGAUCACAAACACCACAUCAUCAAUGGUGAUGCUGCCGGAACAGGACAAACAGUCAUGAGUACUUGACUGGACUUCAACACACCUGGUUUUGUCCCGUGUCUGUGGAGACACAGAUUUGAUCUGAUUCUGACAGCACUCACCUGGUCUCAGCGAUGUUGGUGGCAAUGACAAUCUUCCGAACUCC
This is a long non-coding RNA of Cynoglossus semilaevis (tongue sole), 448 nucleotides long. RefSeq lists it as uncharacterized. The transcript has 3 exons. Lineage: Eukaryota; Metazoa; Chordata; Actinopteri; Pleuronectiformes; Cynoglossidae. The record is from RefSeq and is a predicted model, not a curated record.